Molecule: ribosomal RNA, 1372 nt
Filed under: uncultured bacterium
Lineage: Bacteria
Description: bacterial SSU rRNA
Rfam family: Bacterial small subunit ribosomal RNA
Source: RNAcentral
GAUGAACGCUGGCGGCGUGCCUAAUACAUGCAAGUCGAGCGAACGGACGAGAAGCUUGCUUCUCUGAUGUUAGCGGCGGACGGGUGAGUAACACGUGGAUAACCUACCUAUAAGACUGGGAUAACUUCGGGAAACCGGAGCUAAUACCGGAUAAUAUUUUGAACCGCAUGGUUCAAAAGUGAAAGACGGUCUUGCUGUCACUUAUAGAUGGAUCCGCGCCGCAUUAGCUAGUUGGUAAGGUAACGGCUUACCAAGGCAACGAUGCAUAGCCGACCUGAGAGGGUGAUCGGCCACACUGGAACUGAGACACGGUCCAGACUCCUACGGGAGGCAGCAGUAGGGAAUCUUCCGCAAUGGGCGAAGGCCUGACGGAGCAACGCCGCGUGAGUGAUGAAGGUCUUCGGAUCGUAAAACUCUGUUAUUAGGGAAGAACAUAUGUGUAAGUAACUGUGCACAUCUUGACGGUACCUAAUCAGAAAGCCACGGCUAACUACGUGCCAGCAGCCGCGGUAAUACGUAGGUGGCAAGCGUUAUCCGGAAUUAUUGGGCGUAAAGCGCGCGUAGGCGGUUUUUUAAGUCUGAUGUGAAAGCCCACGGCUCAACCGUGGAGGGUCAUUGGAAACUGGAAAACUUGAGUGCAGAAGAGGAAAGUGGAAUUCCAUGUGUAGCGGUGAAAUGCGCAGAGAUAUGGAGGAACACCAGUGGCGAAGGCGACUUUCUGGUCUGUAACUGACGCUGAUGUGCGAAAGCGUGGGGAUCAAACAGGAUUAGAUACCCUGGUAGUCCACGCCGUAAACGAUGAGUGCUAAGUGUUAGGGGGUUUCCGCCCCUUAGUGCUGCAGCUAACGCAUUAAGCACUCCGCCUGGGGAGUACGACCGCAAGGUUGAAGCUCAAAGGAAUUGACGGGGACCCGCACAAGCGGUGGAGCAUGUGGUUUAAUUCGAAGCAACGCGAAGAACCUUACCAAAUCUUGACAUCCUUUGACAGCUCUAGAGAUAGAGCCUUCCCCUUCGGGGGACAAAGUGACAGGUGGUGCAUGGUUGUCGUCAGCUCGUGUCGUGAGAUGUUGGGUUAAGUCCCGCAACGAGCGCAACCCUUAAGCUUAGUUGCCAUCAUUAAGUUGGGCACUCUAAGUUGACUGCCGGUGACAAACCGGAGGAAGGUGGGGAUGACGUCAAAUCAUCAUGCCCCUUAUGAUUUGGGCUACACACGUGCUACAAUGGACAAUACAAAGGGUAGCGAAACCGCGAGGUCAAGCAAAUCCCAUAAAGUUGUUCUCAGUUCGGAUUGUAGUCUGCAACUCGACUACAUGAAGCUGGAAUCGCUAGUAAUCGUAGAUCAGCAUGCUACGGUGAAUACGUUCCCGGGUCU